GAUGAACGCUAGCUACAGGCUUAACACAUGCAAGUCGAGGGGAAACGGCAUUAAGUGCUUGCACUUUUUGGACGUCGACCGGCGCACGGGUGAGUAACGCGUAUCCAACCUUCCCAUGACUAAGGGAUAACCUGCCGAAAGGCAGACUAAUACCUUAUGGUCUUCACUGACGGCAUCAGAUGUGAAGUAAAGAUUUAUCGGUUAUGGAUGGGGAUGCGUCUGAUUAGCUUGUUGGCGGGGUAACGGCCCACCAAGGCAACGAUCAGUAGGGGUUCUGAGAGGAAGGUCCCCCACAUUGGAACUGAGACACGGUCCAAACUCCUACGGGAGGCAGCAGUGAGGAAUAUUGGUCAAUGGGCGAGAGCCUGAACCAGCCAAGUAGCGUGCAGGGUGACGGCCCUAUGGGUUGUAAACUGCUUUUGUAUGGGGAUAAAGUCAAUCACGUGUGAUUGUUUGCAGGUACCAUACGAAUAAGGACCGGCUAAUUCCGUGCCAGCAGCCGCGGUAAUACGGAAGGUCCGGGCGUUAUCCGGAUUUAUUGGGUUUAAAGGGAGCGUAGGCUGGAGAUUAAGUGUGUUGUGAAAUGUAGACGCUCAACGUCUGACUUGCAGCGCAUACUGGUUUCCUUGAGUACGCACAACGUUGGCGGAAUUCGUCGUGUAGCGGUGAAAUGCUUAGAUAUGACGAAGAACUCCGAUUGCGAAGGCAGCUGACGGGAGCGCAACUGACGCUGAAGCUCGAAGGUGCGGGUAUCGAACAGG
RNAcentral lists this ribosomal RNA (761 nucleotides) under Prevotella melaninogenica. RNAcentral describes it as "bacterial SSU rRNA". It matches the Rfam family "Bacterial small subunit ribosomal RNA", at positions 28 to 776 of the family's 1533-position model. Lineage: Bacteria; Pseudomonadati; Bacteroidota; Bacteroidia; Bacteroidales; Prevotellaceae. The record is from RNAcentral.